Molecule: long non-coding RNA, 656 nt
Organism: Scylla paramamosain (green mud crab)
Lineage: Eukaryota; Metazoa; Arthropoda; Malacostraca; Decapoda; Portunidae
Exons: 4
Source: RefSeq, a predicted model, not a curated record
UGUAAACAGCUACCAGCUGGUGAAAUUAUUUGUUCGUAGAGACAGACUUGAGUGGUAACCACUAAACAGACAUUGUGGCGAGAGUUGUGCUACUUUGAACUGGAUACAACCAUAAAGACUGCCACCACCACCGUCCAUGGAGGUCACUGUACUGCAGGCCCAGCCAUUGUGUGUCAUCAAUGCCAAGUUCAGAUGCUACCUGCACCACAUAACCACAAUGGUCACAGAUGUCUACAACAACUGGCCCAGUGUUCUAGAAGUGUGGGAGGCAGACCUUUCCAGCAAAGAGCUCAGAGACCACUGUCAUCCAGAGGGCCAGCACAAAGAAAAUGAAUCAAGAAGAAAUUAAAUACAUAAGGAAGAAUGAGGCAAGAAUGAAGAAAUGAAGAAAGAAAUAACAAAGUAGAAAGAAUAAAUGAGGGAAGAUAAUGAACACAAAAGCAGGUACCAAGAUUACAAGAAGCUCUCACCACCCUGAUAGAUAAGAGACAAGACGUAACCACAGAGAAGAUGCAGUGAGUCAUCACAAGAUUAACAGAGCCAGACAUUAGCAUUAGAUUACAAAAAAGGGAUACCCUGGUAGCUAUCACAAAAUUAGUACACAAGGGAAGCAGAGGUCACCGGCAGCAAAUGAUGUGGACAAGACAGACAGCACA